RNAcentral lists this long non-coding RNA (2953 nucleotides) under Ananas comosus (pineapple). RNAcentral's name for it is "long non-coding RNA (ACOM_LNC005706)". Lineage: Eukaryota; Viridiplantae; Streptophyta; Magnoliopsida; Poales; Bromeliaceae. The record is from RNAcentral.
AGGUUUUAUGUGGAUUUUGUAUCUUAGUAUUUCAAAACCUGUUUCUGUGGUUGGAAACAUUUUAACUGAUAGAUGUGGAUUUAUAUUUAAAUAGCGAAUGUAUAUUUGUGAAUUUGUGGUGAAUGGUGUAUGAAUGUAUAUCUGUGGUUGUUGUAUGAUUGAACUCUUGUACUUGUGCGACGCCGUGCAAAUACAGGGGAGACUCUGUCCGUGUGAACAGUGAAACUCCUGUAUUUGUGGCGGAUCUGGCACACUCUGGGGUUAGAUUUUCAAAAAAAAAAAAAAAAAAAAAAAUUUCAGACGCUUUUCCGCUACCUUUUAAACUAAAAGGGACCCCGGGACGUGACAGGUAAUGAACAUGUAAUCAACAUGUAAUCAUACUUUCUACAGUAAUGAAUCAACUGAAUAAUAAAAGCAUAGCAAUUACUGUAAGCAUGAACAUAAAGAUGAACAUAAGUAUAAACGUGUAAGUAAAUACUGUAUACUAUUGGACAUUUCGGUUGUAGUUUCGAUGCGAUUUUGAUACUUGUUUUUCAGCAGGUUCGUGAACCAGUUGAGCUGACUUUUGGGACUCUUUUGGGCUGGAUUGAGCUUAGUGAUAGGUGGGUUUGACCUAACCAGAGCAAGUGAAGCUCCCCUAUGUUCUAUAUGAUAUUAUAGAAUUGACACAUAUGUGCAUUUUUGUGAUUAUGCGAUCGAUAAAGGGAUUGGAACAUAUCACCAUAGUGUUUGAUAUAUUCUCUAUGAAGUAGAGAACACUUAUGCAUAAAAGUAUUUAUGUUUAUGUUUAGUUCAAUUGAAUAACUAAUGGACAUAUUUAUUAUGCUUCUAUAAAGUAGAGAACAAUGACAUUCCUUGUGACUAUUUUGAUAGUACCUUGAUAGUGGAAAGUUUCUAAUGCCAUAUGUAAAUUAGCAUUACUUUCAUAACUUAAAUCCAUGUUUUGGUUCACUUUAGUACCUCAAGUUCAAUCUCCAAAAGCUCUCACAAGUCAGCCGAAGACGAUUCAAGGGUCGAUUGUACUCUCGCUGCGAACAAACAUUAAACGACGUUAAAACGCUCGUAUACUAGCUAAUAUAGCCGGAAUCUUGCAAAAUCAGUUUUCUAACUGAAAUUUCAGCUUACCCCUAGUUGAACCACCUUCUAAACAAGCCCCCAAAGUCACCAAUUUAAUGUAAAAUGAAUCAAAAACCUGCUACGAAGAAAUCAUUCCAAACUGCAUCAAGUUGCUCAAAUGAAUCGCGUAUAGUUCCGAAAUAACUUCAUAGAUAACUAAUUACCUUAAUCAAGCUUCAAAGCAACUUUUCCCUGCACUAGAGUGGAUAAAUUACAGCUAAAUAACUCCUCUCUAGCUGCUGGAAACUCCUCCUAAUUCAGCUGGGAGCAAAGAAAUCAAAACGACUCAAAAUUUGCUACUAACUUCCAAUUAGAGAAGGUUUAAGCAAUAUACCUUUCAAAAGCUGCAACUCAGCUUUUCCUCAUGGUAAGAUGCCAGAAAAGUCAGUAAAAAUCCUCCUCCCCAUGUUCCAAAAGCUUCCUUUGAGUCGCCAAAUCAGCGAACAUCGAGCGAAGCGCGAAAUCAGCUCGAAUCGGCGACUUCUAUUCAAAGAGAGAGAAACCCUAGAGAGAGAGAGAGAGAGGUGCAAGGCUGCUUCUCUGAGCUCUAGCAUCAUCUAAGGAGCUCCAGAGGUUGUGCUCGGGUCAAAUAGAUAGGGACAAGGAGUGAAAUUACAAAAAUAGCCUUGCUGCCACGUAUUUGCCAAUGUGUACCGGUACACAAUGAUGAUUGUACCGGUACACAAUGCAGAAAAAUGCUGAAUUUCGCCAGAGCAAUGCACUUUCUUACUUCUGGCCUUCCAAUCACUCCCAAACUUGUCCAAUCUCUUCUCUACACCCUUUAGAAGAUGUACGAUAGCUCCAAAUAUCCUUCCACACACUCGAACUUCUCAAUUUGCUUAAGUUCAGUAUAUUAUAUAGCGGUAAAGGUUUAUUACAAUGAUUGCAAUUUCAAAUUACACCUACAUAUUAAACAUGUAUAAUGUUAAGUAUCUUUGUUCAGUACAAUCCGACUUUGGCGAAGUUUAGGGACAAACCUUUUCCGGCAUAUAAUGAUAUUGCAUUUCUUUCUAGAUCAACUACUGCCACAGGACAAUUUGGAAUGUCCUCGCAAAUGCCCGUACCAACAAUUGAUAGCUCAUCCUCAUCUUCUCCUGGUGAGGAUGAUACCGUUGUAGGUGUCAGACAGCUUGCAAUUAAUUUCUUACCCAGUCUCUUUGAACUAGGGUCCUCACACUCACCCUUGCAUACAAAUGUACCAGGCAGUAAUACUUUGCGCUCCCCUAGCCCUCCCCUAGUGCAACCAAAUAUAGGAGGGAGUGCUAGUGGAUCUGGACAUAGCUCUGCGGGUAAAAGAGCUCGCUCUCCAGAGGCCUCACUCCCUCGAAAGAAACAACCAUCUGUUUCCGCCGGCCGAAAAAAAAAAAAUUGACAUAACCGGCGAAGCAAUAUCGGAAUUGGUAGAUAUUGGAAAACAAAAGUUGAACCUUGUACGAGAAAUGUACCAACAAGAUCUCACCAAAUAUUCUAAUACUCUGUCAGUUGAACAGUGUAUGAAUAGGGUUUAUAAUAUGCCCGGAAUUACAGAUGAGCAAGCCCUAGCUGCACGGGAAGCAUUACUGAAUGAGCCACAAAAAUGCCUUUUUAUGACUAUGAAUGAUCGCAUAGCAGCAAGAUGGAUAGGGCGGCAAUGCGAGGUCCAAGACGUCUUGUACAAAAAAAACUUUUUUGGUUUUUAGAUUGUUUUGUUAUUGUGUCUUGGUGUUUGUAGAAUAGAGUAGGAUGUGGUGUCUCGAAGCAUGUGUGUUUUAGACUUGUAUGUUAGAUUAUUUGUAUGUUUGUUUAUUUUUAUGUAUGAUUAUGUACUAUGUUUGCUUAUAUGUUAGUUUGAUUGUGU